GCCGGUCGUUUGGAUGGCCGUAGACACCCUUCGCUCGACUCGUAAUGAGAAGGUCGUCGGUUCGAUUCCGACAGGCGGCUCCA
Molecule: transfer RNA, 83 nt
Filed under: Kribbella solani
Lineage: Bacteria; Bacillati; Actinomycetota; Actinomycetes; Propionibacteriales; Kribbellaceae
Description: tRNA-Thr
Source: RNAcentral